GACACUUUCCCUUGUGCGGCAUGAUAGUGUGUGCCUCUUUGCAGAAGGACCCCUGUAUGCAGAAGUAGAGGCGCUGGCCUCAGGCUCCUCCACUUCCUCUUGGACAGAAGACACUGAGCAUUUUUUCAGGAAGUGGUCACCCCAGUGGUCCCCGGCUUUCUCAGGCUUCCUGCAGCUCUCUACACAGUGAAUCACAGUGAGACACUGGCAGCAGGCACCACGGAAGGGACCCUCAAAUCUGAAGGCUCAAGGUCGUGGGAAAACAUGAAGUGGAGCAUGCCUCUUGUUUCCUCCGAUUAGAUGCUGAGUGUUGGAAGUUCUUCCUAGGAUUCACAAAGAAACUCCUGGUCUUCUUCUACAUACUUUUUCCUGGGAAAGACAACUUGUUUCACUGGCAGAAAAGAUCCCCACUGUUAAAGUGAGGUAAAGAAGAUUCUUGCUUCCUCUUCACGUGUCUGCCAUGACUGUAAGUUUCCUGAGGCUUCUGGAACCAGCCAUGCUGAACUGAUCUUAGAUACAUGAUGGCACUGUUGGCUUCCUGAAGACCUCUUCAUCCUGCAGAAGGUGCAACUCCACAGCGUCCUGAGAGGUUGGACAUAAGGCUUGGAAAGAAUGAAUGGUGCCUCACGGUGAAUUACUACAGCCUGAAUCCUGUGACCCCACCUGUAAUGGCCCAAUGUUGUUGAAAUUACUGACUCCAUCCACUUAGCAAGUGGUAAAUACUCUGCAGGCAUAGAUUUGACUAAUGUGUUCUGUUCAGCACCUAUUUCAACAGAUCUCAGCUGCAGGUUGCUUUCACUCCCGAAGGGACGCAAUAGACCGUUAUCUGGCUACCAUGGGGUACCUCGACAGUUCUGCCACCAUACACAAUCUUUGCAGGCAGGAUUUGAACUGCAUCUGAC
This 902-nucleotide non-coding RNA is filed under the name Pongo abelii (Sumatran orangutan). Lineage: Eukaryota; Metazoa; Chordata; Mammalia; Primates; Hominidae. The record is from RNAcentral.